Molecule: non-coding RNA, 24 nt
Filed under: Arabidopsis thaliana (thale cress)
Lineage: Eukaryota; Viridiplantae; Streptophyta; Magnoliopsida; Brassicales; Brassicaceae
Source: RNAcentral
UUGAAAGCUUACAAUAACAAAUAU